Molecule: long non-coding RNA, 3127 nt
Filed under: Salmo salar (Atlantic salmon)
Lineage: Eukaryota; Metazoa; Chordata; Actinopteri; Salmoniformes; Salmonidae
Description: lncRNA (ENSSSAG00000109439.1)
Source: RNAcentral
UAGUAGACUGCAUGAUUUAUUUCAGCUUUUAUUUCUUUCAUCACAUUCCCAGUGGGUCAGAAGUUUACAAACACUCAAUUAUUAUUUGGUAGAAUUGCCUUUAAAUUGUUUAACUUGGGUCAAACGUUUCAGGUAGCCUUCCACAAGCUUAUAUCAAUAUUUGCAUAAAGGCUUUUCCACCACCAUUUCUCGCAUAAUGAAUUUUACUGACGCGAAAAGAUCCCACCAUGUCAAACGAACAAUUGAUCUGUCGGCAUUUAUAAAAUUGUACUGAAACAGGACCAGUGGAAGCAAAAUAGCUGCCUAACAUAAAGAUGCACCACCAUAUUUUACCGUAGGUAUGAGCUACUUUUCUGCAUAUGCUUCUGUGUUUUUUACGCCAAACCCACCAUUGAUGUGCGUGGCCAAAUAGUUAUAUUUUCAUGUCAUCUGACCAUAGCACCGCCUGGAGUUUGAUAAACGGCAUUGGCACAGAUUGGAACCGGUGCUAUGGUCAGAUGACAUGAAAAUAGAUUUUUUUUAAAAGAACACCUGGGUUGCCUUGAGUGGCAGCGUCCUCCCUCACAACAACAGAGUUUCUCCCAGCUUUGCAGCCACCAUUGUUCCCGCUAGAGAUCCAGCUCAGCACACAAGUACCGCUGCCCGGAAAGCAAGGAGCUGGCCGCACCCCAGCAGGUGACAGGGUGAAGAUGGUCCCGAGAGAGGUUCAGACCCAAGAACCAGAGGGGAUGCGCCUACCAGCCGAGUAAGAGGCCAAGAGCCUGAGGGCUGUGCAGCCAAGAAGAGAGUGUAUCCAGGGAAGGUUUCUCUGCAGUGCCAUCCCACUUUGAGAACUUCAAGGGAAAGGGCAACUGGGCCAAUAAAAUAGUUUUCUCCACAGCUAAAGAAAGCAUGGUUAGGCAGCCAGUCAGUAUCCCCUCACUCUCUAGAAUCAGUAAUUCCUUCUCCCUUACCACAGGUAGUGAGUUCAGUAUGUACCAUACCCCAAGUGUUAAAUGUGAAUUAGGGCACCCUGUACAGUUGGUUGGCCCCACUAGACAGGCAGAAAAGUGUAUAUUAGAAGAUAUGACCAUAAGCAAAGUUCUCCCGUUUAUCACAAGCACGCACAUUCACACAAAUAUUCCUUCUCUGCCUCGCAAAUGCACGCAGAAGAAAAUUAUAAUGAGCCCUACACAACCCAUUGUUGAGCCUGGGAGAAUGGUAGAUCAAAUAACUCUGUCGUCUCCUCCUACUCUGGUGGGGAGAGUAGCAUAGCACGUGCAGAGCACGUGCAGAGCACUCUGGGUGCUAUGUAUGAUUACAGAGGGCUACAUGCUCCAAUUCGCAAAAAGGCCAGCAGGGUUCAGUGGUGUCAUGGUCUCCACGGUAACACAGCAGACCGCAAAGAUAUUGCAACAGGAAGUAGAUUCCCUAUUGGCCAAUUGAGCUAUUCAUAUGAUCCCUCCCUCAAAAACAGGUGAAGGACAUUACGGUCAAUAUUUCCUGAUUCCAAAGAAGGGUGGGGGUCUCAGACAGAUCCUAGACCUCCACCGCCUAAACGGAUGCCUAAAGAAGCUACCCUUUCGCAUGCUUACAUACUACAAACAGUUAGUCCAGAGUAUACGUCAGGGCAAUUGAUGUGUCAGUAGAUCUGCAAACGCAUACUUCCAUAUUCCAAUAGCAACGUGACACAGAACAUUUUAAGGUUUGUUUUCAAAGAUAAGGUAACAUUUUGCCAAAAGCUGGUCAGCUGUCUCUCCAUGGAUGGCACACCUAGCAGAGGGGGUGCUGUUAGGUCCCAUUCUGUGUCGUCAUGUGAUAACAAUGGACGGGGUGCAUUGUGCGAGGGCCGGAUGGCAAUUUGCAUGUGGAAGGGUACACAGGCACAUCUUCUCAUACAUGUGCUGGAACUCAAGGCUGUUCUCUUUCAGUCAGUCAACUUCGGUACAACAUACUAUGGGAAGUCGCAUUCUCGUGACUUCAGUUGAAACUGUCUUACGUUGCACCAACUAAACUGUCCUUUAGUGGUAGAGCGUGCUCACCCACAGGACGUUGUGUGCUGAAGUUUGUAUGGUACUCAUAAGUUUCCUAAUCACAGACAAUUAGUUAUUUUUUUAAUUGCUUGGCCUGGCUAUAGCAAUAAGUAAGAUGGCUAAUGCGACCAAAACGAUAAAGGCUAACAAGCCCGGUUUUGGUUCAUGACCAUGUUCCAAUGAAUUAAAAGAUACACAUGUUGGUUGUCUUGUAAGUCUCGGUUCAGGCGCAGGCUGCCCUCGCUCGAAUCAGUUCAUGUGUGAGACUAGGGGACUGAUUGCAUUGUUCUCCUACUAGUCCACGGUGCAGGUUCUCUUGACAAUCAUGUAGCAUUCUUUAGGGGGCUUGGUGUUUCCGAUAGUGACUUCAGCCGUACCUCGGCUGAGUCUGAGUUGCAGGACGAGGAGAUGGUUUGGGUUGUUGGUAUGGUCAAAUGUCUCCUGUGCUCUCUGUCACUGGUUACGGGGGGCUACUCAAAGAGAGAGGGUGAACAGGUUAUGUGGGUAUCCCCCCCGCCUGUGUCUGCCUUGGUUAAGCACAGCUUGCCUCUCUUCCCAGACGUGUCUGGGUCCUACCUUGGUGCUCCGGUCCUACGUAGACUUUCAAGACCUGACUUGCUAACAAACACAUCAUAGUGUGCUAGCCAGGUUAGCUAACACGCCGGGGUGAGAUAGAUACUAGUAGCUAUUCCUGCCUCCCCACAAUUUAGUUUCUUGAGUAGCUCUCUUAUUUAGUACACAUGGCGUUAAGUCGCUUGGUUAUUCUAAAACGGACAGUGCUACAGUCUAUGAGGCUAGCUAGUCUAGCUUAGACUAAAGAGCCUCCUGGCUAACGCCGGCUAGCAUGCAUAACUUCCGGUGAAUGAAGCUUACUAGCGUUCCCCCUCCACUAUCGCAACCCCAUUCCUAUUUUAAAUUCCUGUAGUUGGAGGGAGUAGAGAAAGCAGGGCUUGCGUGCUCCGCUGAUGAGGAAAUAGACACUGAGUAGCUGCGCCACUCCACAAAAAGAUUGUUGUGACGACAGUGCCCUAUGUGCCCAUAAGGGGGCCGGGCUUCAUGCAGGCUAUACAGUCUCACGGAAACACAACAUGUGUUGGAAGUUUGUCCAUGUUAUG